Molecule: ribosomal RNA, 428 nt
Filed under: uncultured bacterium
Lineage: Bacteria
Description: partial 16S ribosomal RNA
Rfam family: Bacterial small subunit ribosomal RNA
Source: RNAcentral
GUAGGGAAUAUUGCGCAAUGGGGGAAACCCUGACGCAGCGACGCCGCGUGAGUGAUGAAGGCCUUCGGGUCGUAAAGCUCUGUUGCAGGGGAAUAAAAAAAUGAAGGUACCCUGUGAGGAAGGAUCGGCUAACUUCGUGCCAGCAGCCGCGGUAAGACGAGGGAUCCUAGCGUUGCUCGGAAUCAUUGGGCGUAAAGAGGGCGUAGGUGGCUUGGUAAGUCAGGUGUGAAAGCCCAGGGCUCAACCCUGGAAGUGCAUUUGAUACUGCUGAGCUUGAGUGUCGGAGAGGUUACCGGAAUACCUGGUGUAGUGGUGAAAUACGUAGAUAUCAGGUGGAACACCGGAGGCGAAGGCGGGUAACUGGACGAACACUGACACUGAGGCCCGAAAGCGUGGGGAUCAAACAGGAUUAGAAAACCUAGUAGUCC